ACUCCUACGGGAGGCAGCAGUAGGAAAUCUUCCACAAUGGGCGCAAGCCUGAUGGAGCAACACCGCGUGAGUGAAGAAGGGUUUCGGCUCGUAAAGCUCUGUUGUUAAAGAAGAACACGUAUGAGAGUAACUGUUCAUACGUUGACGGUAUUUAACCAGAAAGUCACGGCUAACUACGUGCCAGCAGCCGCGGUAAUACGUAGGUGGCAAGCGUUAUCCGGUAUUUAUUGGGACGUAAAGAGAGUGCAGGCGGUUUUCUAAGUCUGAUGUGAAAGCCUUCGGCUUAACCGGAGAAGUGCAUCGGAAACUGGAUAACUUGAGUGCAGAAGAGGGUAGUGGAACUCCAUGUGUAGCGGUGGAAUGCGUAGAUAUAUGGAAGAACACCAGUGGCGAAGGCGGCUACCUGGUCUGCAACUGACGCUGAGACUCGAAAGCAUGGGUAGCGAACAGGAUUAGAUACCCCUGGUAGGAUAGCG
RNAcentral lists this ribosomal RNA (476 nucleotides) under uncultured bacterium. Its description in RNAcentral is "bacterial SSU rRNA". It matches the Rfam family "Bacterial small subunit ribosomal RNA", at positions 335 to 801 of the family's 1533-position model. The record is from RNAcentral.